CUUCUGGAAUGUUGGAGGCAUAGUGCAUGGUGGUAUGAACAAAUUGGACGAUGAUAUGUUUCUGUCCGAGAUCAAAGCAUAUGAUAUUAUUCUCCUAGCGGAAACACACAUAGGGUAUAAUACCCCCCUCUCUAUAGAUGGUUAUAAAUACUACCCUGUUUGUCGACCCAUUUCUGGCAACGGUAGAUAUUUUGGAGGGUUAGCUAUAUUUAUCAAACAGGCCCUAAAGCCUCAUAUUUCUUUGCUAGUGAACUCACAAAAAGACUUUCAGUGGAUGAAAUUUGAUAAAUCUUAUUUUAACUUUAAUCAUGAUUUAUAUUUAUGCUUGGCAUAUGAUCCACCAGCCCAAUCCAUUUAUACUAAAAAUCUGUCCACUGAUAUACUUCAGCUGUUAGAAAAGGACAUAUUACAUUUUAAGUCUAA
RNAcentral lists this long non-coding RNA (423 nucleotides) under Mytilus galloprovincialis (Mediterranean mussel). Lineage: Eukaryota; Metazoa; Mollusca; Bivalvia; Mytilida; Mytilidae. The record is from RNAcentral.